AGGGAUUUAGCUUAGCGGUGUAAGCACCUGCCUGGCAAGCAUGAGGUCGUGAGUUUGAUCCCUG
This 64-nucleotide transfer RNA is filed under the name Cavia porcellus (domestic guinea pig). It matches the Rfam family "tRNA", at positions 1 to 62 of the family's 71-position model. Rfam says of the family: Transfer RNA (tRNA) molecules are approximately 80 nucleotides in length. Their secondary structure includes four short double-helical elements and three loops (D, anti-codon, and T loops). The record is from Rfam by way of RNAcentral. Lineage: Eukaryota; Metazoa; Chordata; Mammalia; Rodentia; Caviidae.